CCGUCUUUUACAAGUAUGAUUCUAUUAGAAUAUUUCGAUUUGUCUUGGAUUUUUAUUUUAAAUGAAAAUUCAUUAUUAUUUGAUAAAAAUGUAUACAGUAUUUUUUAUGUUGUUCUGUUUUGUGUGGUUCUGUUUUGUUUUGUGUUUUUUAUUUUUUUGUAAAACGUAAAUGAAAAAAAAUCAAAAUAAUUUUUUUUUUUUUUUUUUUGGCGUAUUUAUCAAUUCACACGUAAUAAAAUAAAAUUUUUGAUUUUUAUUUAUCCAUUUCAUUUUAUUUGAUAUUUAAUUUUUAAAUUUAUUUUGAUGAUAUAUGUGUAAUACAUAUACGCAUAUACACACAUUAUUAUACAGUUAUUAAUUUGUUUUACUUUUAUAUUAUAUUUUCAUUUUUGUAAAAUGGUUGUUACAUAUAAAAUUUUAUAAAUUUAAUUUAUGGUUAUUAAAUAAAUGGUUAAUUAUUAAUGUAUCGGUAAAAAAUAAAAAAACAGAAGGCUUUAAAGAAAGUGUUAUCAUAAUAUUCAUUUAUUAAGUAAGAUUUUAGUUCUUUCAAUUUUUUAAAUAAUUACUUAUAUACUAAUCAUUAUUUUGUCAGUAUUUAGCUUUUUAUUUGUUUUUCAAUUAAUGAAAGUGUUACAAAUUUCAGCACACUUGAAUUAAUACUUUAUCUUUUAUUGUAAAAAAAAAAAAAAAAAAACACAUAAUCAGUAAUUUCUAUUGUUUAAAUAAAAUGAAACUCAUUUUACUUUUUUGUGUAAUAUUUUACUUAUAUGCUUUUAAUGGAGUGUUACUCCGAGCAGAAGUAUCUAAUAAUGAAUCAGAUGAUAUUUUUCAAACAGUUAUAGAAUCAGCUAUUUUUGCGUUAUAUAAAGCAGCUGAUGCAGUAGAUAAAGCAAUCAAUUUGAAAUAUAAGGAAAGUUUAGAAACAGAGGGAAGCGAAACUCUUAGUGCUGUAUCUAUUGCAAAUGAGAUUAUAGAAUUAAAAAAUGUAGUGUAUACAACACUUAAGAACAUUCAGGAUCUUGAAAAUAUAGCAAAAAUAGGAGCUGGUAUUACAGAAAAACCAAAAGAAAAUAAUAAUGAAAACGAUAUAAUCAAGGAUGAUAAUACAGAACAACAGCAUCUUAGAGGACUUGAACAAGAUGAUGAUAAACAUAAGAAACAUACUAGUUCUAAAAAAUCGGCUAUAUCUAUACAAAUUGAAAAGGCAGAACAAGAAGCUAAAAAGGUAAUUGAAACAGCCAAAAACAUAGAGGAUGAAUUAGAUAAUGCACAUGAAGGAGAGAUGUAUGGUGACGCUGUUAAAGCAACAGAAGCAGCUAUUAGAGGUGACGCAUACUUAAAGAAAAUGAAUGAACACUUAAAAAAAGCAUUAUAUCAUGUAAAACUCGCUGAAACAUAUAGCGAUUUAGUAGAUGAAGCACAUAAACAAGCAAAUGAAACUUUAACAUUUGCUAAUUUUACAAAAACAAUUGCUGUAAAUCUUGAAAGUGUGAUAGAAGGCAAAAUUGAUGACGCUAUUGAUUUAGUAAAAGAGUUUACUGAGAUUGCAAAAAAUGCCGCAAAUGAUAGCCAACUAGCUGCAGAAGCUGCUAAAGUUGCAUACAACGUUGAUGAUAUAUUUAUAUAUACACACAGUUCUAUACACGCAGCUAAUAAAGCUAUUACUGCUUAUACUAAAGUAGGCCAUAUUGCAAAAGCAGCUAUAAAACUAGUUAAAUUAUCUGUAAGUAAAGAAAUGGUUGAAAAAAUGAAAGAAUUAAUGGAAUUUGUAGUUACAGCUAAAGCAUAUAGAGAUGUGGCUAAAAAUUUUGCUAAACAUGCAAUACAAAUUGCAGAAACACAUAAAAUAAAACCGGACGUAGUUCUUAUAGAGAGCAGCGACAAUAAACAUAAUAUACAAAAAAAAAAAGAUGGUAAAAAUUCAGUACAUACCAAUAAUAGAAUGUUAGCGGAAAAAGAAGUUGAAGAAGAAGUUAAAGAAGAAGUUAAAGAAGAAGUUAAAGAAGAAGUUGAAGAAGCAGUUGAAGAAGAAGUUAAAGAAGAAGUUAAAGAAGUAGUUGAAGAAGAAGUUAAAGAAGCAGUUGAAGAAGAAGUUAAAGAAGUAGUUAAAGAAGAAGUUAAAGAAGCAGUUGAAGAAGAAGUUAAAGAAGAAGUUAAAGAAGAAGUUGAAGAAGAAGUUGAAGAAGCAGUUGAAGAAGCAGUUGAAGAAGAAGUUAAAG
RNAcentral lists this long non-coding RNA (2219 nucleotides) under Piliocolobus tephrosceles (Ugandan red Colobus). Its description in RNAcentral is "lncRNA (ENSPTEG00000002561.1)". The record is from RNAcentral. Lineage: Eukaryota; Metazoa; Chordata; Mammalia; Primates; Cercopithecidae.